Lycium barbarum (goji berry) is the source of this 2411-nucleotide long non-coding RNA. RefSeq lists it as uncharacterized. Lineage: Eukaryota; Viridiplantae; Streptophyta; Magnoliopsida; Solanales; Solanaceae. The transcript is spliced from 3 exons. The record is from RefSeq and is a predicted model, not a curated record.
UUUAAUUUUCUUUUCAUUUCCCCCUUCUCUUUCACUCUCGUCUCUCUCUCUCUCCUCUCUCUACCAUGCUAAGUUCAUCUCACAAAGAAGAGCUUGAGAGAAUCCUGAGGUUACAAUUAAUGCUUGGCAAGAGAAAUUAAGGAGACCCGUAUCUUGGCGGGGCAACCCAGAUCUGAACCCGAGGUUUGCAGCCAUGGCGAUGUCUUUAUUUUCUUGUUUUAUAAACAGAUCUGAGCUUUAAUUUUAGUCUUGCAGCUCUUGUUUGAAUGGUUGUUACCUAUUGUAUUGUGUUAUUAUGCUAAAAGGGUGUGUUUGGUAUGAAGAAAAUGUUUUUUGUUUUGUCAUAAAAAAAAAAAGAUGUUUUUGUUUGAAGAAAGUUGGGAAAUUUUUAGGCAAGGGCCAAGAAUUUUCUUUAAAAAAAAUUCUGGCCAGAGACAGAAAAGGGAUGUUCUGUUAAGGGCGGUUGCCCCUCUCUGUUGUGCCAAUGAUUUUCUUUUUAGCAACUAAACCAACAGCCCUUUGUUUAUGAAAAAUAUGCAUGCAUUUUCUUCAAUCUACAGCUUCAGCUGUAUAUCUCAGUGUGUGUUUCUGUUUCCUCCUUUUGGAGUAAUUGAGCAAAAGAGGUUGUGAUAAAGAUAAUGUUUUACUGUCUGGGCUAACAAGGGCAUUGAGGGCAGUCCGACCCGUAUCUUGGCUUGGAAAAUCCCAGGAUGGCCUGCAUCUGAGGCUCUCUUUGGCAUGCGACUGGUGAUUUUGCAGCCAUGGCGUGGUUGCCAUCUCUUUGUCCGAGCAAAAAUGUAGUAUCUGAGCCUCAAAUUUUUGUGCUUUAAAGGGUCGUUUGGUUGCUGGUUAGGAAGUGAGUUAUUCGUGUUAGGAGGAUUAUUUCCCCCUUUAGAGUAAUUGAGCAUGUUCCUGAAUCAACUUCCAAAUAUCAUCUUCUUAUCAGCUGAGCCAUGUUAGCAUAUACUAGUAGUCAAUAGCAUAAUUAAACGUACUUAUAUUUGAUAAGGUUGACAUUCUCUCAUUCCUAUCAAAUUGAAAGAGAUUUUGGCGUUGAGAUGAUGAAAAAGAAUACUAUAAAUGCAUGACCUGUACUUCAGAAAUUCAAUUCUUUGGAACCUAUUGAAAAUGUAUGAAGGAUUUUGCCCAUUUCGACUCUUCUCAGCAUACACUGUGCCAGUGUUCAGGAAAGCUGGCGCUUCACCGCUACGCUUCGCUUAAAGCGGUGAAGCGAAGCUUUGUUGCUUCAGGUAAGUGGAGCGGAGGCUACCCAAUUAAGCGAACGCUUCUGAGAAUGAAGCGGUGAAGCGGCAAGUCAUUCCCUAGUUGAUGAAGUUGAAGAAGAUGAUAAUGAAAUUGAAGAAGAUGAUGAGCAAUAUGAUGAUGAUGUGGGAGUACAAGAUUUUGACAAUCUUGUAGAAGAAUAAGAACUAGAUGUCGAACUAUUAGUAGCUUUGAUUUUGUUUGUCCUAUGGUCUGGAGGAUUUUGUGAUAUCCACUUUAGUUUUUUAUUUGAACUUUUAGUCUAUGGAUAUCUACUUUAGUUUUGAAUUUGAACUUUUGCUUAUAUAUAUAUUCUCUAUUUAUUUUGCUCUUUUUAAAAAAAAUUGUGUUUCACCUCAAUGAAGUGGGCGCUUCGCUUUUGCAUCUUUUGCUAUUGUUGUUUCAUCUUUUGCAUAUCUUAUAAGCUUAAACAGGAAGAGAGCGGAUCAGUGAGUGACUUAAGAUACUACAAGAACUUGUUCCCAAUGGUUCCAAGGUUGAUUUGGUCACCAUGUUAGAGAAAGCAAUCAGUUACGUCAAGUUUCUUCAAUUGCAAGUGAAGGUGUUGGCAACAGAUGAAUUUUGGCCGACACAAGGUGGAAAAGCUCCAAAUAUUUCUCAAGUAAAAGAUGCCAUUGAUGCCAUCCUUGCCAGUCAACGAGACAGAAACUCAACUUCCAAGUGAUUAUAUAGUACCUAGCUAGAUUAAUCUGUUGAAGAAAAUGAAAGAAUUAAAAGGGUUUCACAAAUAAUUGAAGUAGCGCAGCAAUGGCUUCAAAGGAAAUAGAGUUCCCUUUGGAGAACUAAUAUGGUGGUGAAAAUUUAGCCUUAAUUUGUGCAUUCCGAGCUUCUUUGAUUAACCAUGUAUUAGAAGUCAUCUAAAAGCUAAAAAAAGAAGAAAUUUUCUUUGUUUUAGUUCGUCUUUUUUGUCAUGCACUCAUGCUUUAUCAGUUUGUAAUAUGGGGAUUUUUAGUUCGAAUUAGAAGUACUUUUAAGUUUAUAAUGUUUAAGUGUUUGAAUGAUGUUUAUGAUGUUUAAGUGUUUGAAUGUAGUUUUAAUUUUAAGUACUUUGAGGUUGAAUUUGAUUGUUUAUAAGUGUUUGAAUGGACAAUGUUUAAGUGUUCAAGUGUUUGAACAUUGUUUAUGGU